CAGUCGCCGCGGGAAUACGGAGGGGGCUAGCGUUGUUCGGAAUUACUGGGCGUAAAGCGCACGUAGGCGGCUUGGUAAGUUAGAGGUGAAAGCCCGGAGCUCAACUCCGGAAUUGCCUUUAAGACUGCCGAGCUAGUAGGUGAGAGAGGUAAGUGGAAUUCCGAGUGUGGAGGUGAAAUUCGUAGAUAUUCGGAAGAACACCAGUGGCGAAGGCGGCUUACUGGCUCAUUCUAGGCGCUGAGGUGCGAAAGCGUGGGGAGCAAACAGGAUUAGAUACCCCUGUAGUCCCUGUCUCUUAUAC
RNAcentral lists this ribosomal RNA (301 nucleotides) under uncultured bacterium. Its description in RNAcentral is "partial 16S ribosomal RNA". It matches the Rfam family "Bacterial small subunit ribosomal RNA", at positions 509 to 807 of the family's 1533-position model. The record is from RNAcentral.